GAUUACACAUAUUGUUAGAACUUUUGAGCCAAAAUCUUGUCAAAUUUCUCAAAAUAUAGCUUAAACCACAGUGACUAGUGAACUAGGUCACUUACUACCUUUAAAUUUAUAAGUGCUGAUUUCAACCUCUAAUAUCUCUUUUAUAUUUAUUUAAAAUCCAUUAAAUAAUAUGCUAAAACUGUAGCCAAAAAAGUGGUCUCUUCAAUCUUAGUCAUCGAUUCUCUG
This 225-nucleotide long non-coding RNA is filed under the name Physcomitrium patens. RNAcentral describes it as "long non-coding RNA (PPAT_LNC005116)". The record is from RNAcentral. Lineage: Eukaryota; Viridiplantae; Streptophyta; Bryopsida; Funariales; Funariaceae.